Molecule: ribosomal RNA, 387 nt
Filed under: uncultured bacterium
Lineage: Bacteria
Description: bacterial SSU rRNA
Rfam family: Bacterial small subunit ribosomal RNA
Source: RNAcentral
AUUGAACGCUGGCGGAAUGCUUUACACAUGCAAGUCGAACGGUAGAGGGGGCAACCCCUUGAGAGUGGCGAACGGGUGGGUAAUAUAUCGGAACGUGCCCAGUCGUGGGGAUAACGUAGCGAAAGCUACGCUAAUACCGCAUACGAUCUAUGGAUGAAAGCGGGGGAUCGCAAGACCUCGCGCGAUUGGAGCGGCCGAUAUCAGAUUAGGUAGUUGGUGAGGUAAAGGCUCACCAAGCCGACGAUCUGUAGCUGGUCUGAGAGGACGACCAGCCACACUGGGACUGAGACACGGCCCAGACUCCUACGGGAGGCAGCAGUGGGGAAUUUUUGGACAAUGGGCGCAAGCCUGAUCCAGCAAUGCCGCGUGCAGGAUGAAGGCCUUCGG